GAAGUGCGAUAAGCAAUGCGAAUUGCAGAACCGUGAGUCAUCAGAUUUUUGAACGCAACUGGCGCUAAUUGGCUCUCCAAUUAGCAUACUUGUUUCAGUGUCUUUUUAUCUCAUCACCCAAAUCAUAAUGCGAGAGAUACCCUUCUCUUGCUAAACAUGAAAGCACUCUACGCUCUGCGAGCGGCUUCGAUUCGUCGAGGGUCGCACUCAAUGCAGCAGUCACAUUGCUCACAAUGUGAACUCAUUGAGAGCUGAGGUAGUGCAGCCUAGCUGCUAGUGCUUAGUCACUCAAACUUUACUUGCAUCUGAAAUCAAGCAGGACCACCCGCUGAACUUAA
This 338-nucleotide unclassified non-coding RNA is filed under the name uncultured fungus. RNAcentral's name for it is "sequence contains ITS1". The stretch from base 1 to 103 matches the Rfam family "5.8S ribosomal RNA", at positions 50 to 154 of the family's 154-position model. Lineage: Eukaryota; Fungi. The record is from RNAcentral.